UUUGGAAUAGGCGUUCCCAUUUUGGCCCAAUCACUGGCUUCCUAGGCAAAGAUAUCAAAGAAAUUUGCAGGCAUUGACUGAUGCAACAGGCGAUGCUUUUAGAUAUGUACUGUGUUAUUCACUUAUUUGUCACUAUUUUACCGCACUUUGUUCCGGCUUUUGAUGAUUUAGAUCCCUUUUAUUAGAUAUGUAUAUGUAUGUUAGACUUUGGACUGUCUAAGGGUGUGUUUGCUUCCAAGUGGGAGGAGGGAGGAAGUAUUUUUUUGUGUUUGUUUUCAUAGUUUUGAGAGUGGGGAGAGGGUGGGGGAGAUGGUGGAGGAUUUUUCUCAUUCUUCACAAAGGAGGCACAAUUCGAUAUGC
RNAcentral lists this long non-coding RNA (360 nucleotides) under Phaseolus vulgaris (common bean). RNAcentral's name for it is "long non-coding RNA (PVUL_LNC004149)". The record is from RNAcentral. Lineage: Eukaryota; Viridiplantae; Streptophyta; Magnoliopsida; Fabales; Fabaceae.